This 494-nucleotide ribosomal RNA is filed under the name uncultured bacterium. RNAcentral's name for it is "partial 16S ribosomal RNA". It matches the Rfam family "Bacterial small subunit ribosomal RNA", at positions 28 to 504 of the family's 1533-position model. The record is from RNAcentral.
GAUGAACGCUGGCGGCGUGCCUAAUACAUGCAAGUCGAGCGAACAGACCAGGAGCUUGCUCCUCUGACGUUAGCGGCGGACGGGUGAGUAACACGUGGAUAACCUACCUAUAAGACUGGGAUAACUUCGGGAAACCGGAGCUAAUACCGGAUAAUAUAUUGAACCGCAUGGUUCAAUAGUGAAAGACGGUUUUGCUGUCACUUAUAGAUGGAUCCGCGCCGCAUUAGCUAGUUGGUAAGGUAACGGCUUACCAAGGCAACGAUGCGUAGCCGACCUGAGAGGGUGAUCGGCCACACUGGAACUGAGACACGGUCCAGACUCCUACGGGAGGCAGCAGUAGGGAAUCUUCCGCAAUGGGCGAAAGCCUGACGGAGCAACGCCGCGUGAGUGAUGAAGGUCUUCGGAUCGUAAAACUCUGUUAUUAGGGAAGAACAAAUGUGUAAGUAACUAUGCACGUCUUGACGGUACCUAAUCAGAAAGCCACGGCUAACUAC